CAUUUUGUAUUUUGGUCCUUAAUAUUAAUUUUAUUAUUAAGUUUUCAACCUUUCAAUUUUAUUACAAUUACUUUUUCUUUUUUCUUUUUUUUUGAGAGAUAGGUAGCAUGUUAUCCGCUACGUUUAUUUCAUUUAGAAAUAAACUUAGCUCAAAAUGUGAAUCAAUUUGGAUUCGAACUUGGGACCUCGAGUACCAACCACCAAGCCCUUUGCCACUUACUCUAGGGACGGUCAGUGAUUUUAUUACAAUUAUGUCCCAAUCGUUAAAAGAAGUGUUAAAAUUAACAAAAUUACCAUUUCAGCGCCUACUUAGCUGUAUUUUGCAUCUCAAUUUUGAUCCCUAAACUUUACAUAUUUUUCACUUUAUUCCAAAAAAUAAAAAAUCAAAAUUUGAAUUUAAAUUCAUAAUUAAUAUUGAAAUUAAAAUUUUAAACUAAGUAGAAAUUAGAAUUUUGGAAUUGAAUUUCAAUUUUAAAUUUGAAUUGAAAUUCAAAUUUUAAAUUGAAUCUAAAUUUUGAUUUUAA
Molecule: long non-coding RNA, 524 nt
Filed under: Ananas comosus (pineapple)
Lineage: Eukaryota; Viridiplantae; Streptophyta; Magnoliopsida; Poales; Bromeliaceae
Description: long non-coding RNA (ACOM_LNC043657)
Source: RNAcentral